GCUUCUGUGGCGCAAUCGGCUAGCGCGUCUGACUGUUAAUCAGGAGGUUGGUGGUUCGAGCCCACCCAGGAGCG
Syncephalis pseudoplumigaleata is the source of this 74-nucleotide non-coding RNA. The record is from the annotation of a GenBank genome assembly. NCBI's taxonomy places the organism in Eukaryota, Fungi, Zoopagomycota, Zoopagomycetes, Zoopagales, Piptocephalidaceae.